UAGUUGGUAAGGUAACGGCUUACCAAGGCGACGAUCAGUAGCCGACCUGAGAGGGUGAUCGGCCACAUUGGAACUGAGACACGGUCCAAACUCCUACGGGAGGCAGCAGUGGGGAAUAUUGCACAAUGGGCGAAAGCCGGAUGCAGCAACGCCGCGUGAGUGAUGAAGGCCUUCGGGUCGUAAAACUCUGUCCUCAAGGAAGAUAAUGACGGUACUUGAGGAGGAAGCCCCGGCUAACUACGUGCCAGCAGCCGCGGUAAUACGUA
This 266-nucleotide ribosomal RNA is filed under the name Clostridioides difficile. RNAcentral's name for it is "partial 16S ribosomal RNA". It matches the Rfam family "Bacterial small subunit ribosomal RNA", at positions 246 to 529 of the family's 1533-position model. Lineage: Bacteria; Bacillati; Bacillota; Clostridia; Peptostreptococcales; Peptostreptococcaceae. The record is from RNAcentral.